UGUUCAUUCUUUUCUUCAAAUUUUAUUACUCUACUGGAGAUCAUUGCCAUGACCAAUCACCAUAAAGUGGUAUUCAAUCCAGCAAGAUUGAGGCUUGCUUACUAUUCAUUUCUUGGGUUCUGGCAGUGAGUAUUCCAUGCAGCUGAAUGCUUCUCGCAUUAAAGUUCUUCAAGCUCAAGAUGAUGGGGUAAAUUCCAUUAAAGAAGCAGCAGCUAAGGACCUUCUGAAUGUUAGUCGUGAUCAACAUGUGUACAAUAAACUUUUGAAGGAUCUCAUCGUUCAGAGUUUGCUGAGAUUGAGAGAGCCUUCUGUAUUACUUCGCUGUCGGAAGGAUGAUGUGCAUCUGGUGGAGUCUGUGUUGGAUUCAGCAAAGGAGGAGUAUCCACAAAAGGCAAAUGUUCAUCCACCAGAUGUUAUAGUUGACCAUCAUGUGUACCUUCCUCCACCUCCUUCUCACCAUAAUGCCCAUGGUUCUUUCUGAUCCGCAAGUGGCUCUUUGGUCAGGUUGCCGUGUGAUUCGUUGGACCAUGAUGGUCUCUGUCGUAUUUCGAGCUUAGGGAUUGGAAUAUACUGCCGUAUUUCGCAGUAUUACUGUUAUCUUCGAACGUGUUCUUUGCUGUUGUCAAUGUCAUGUCAUGUGUAUGGAAUUGGAGGCGGGGAAAACACAUUCUUCUUGUCAUUCGUAUGACGAUUGUUUAUUUAAUAAAUUCCAGCAGCUGGUUAUUAUGAGAA
Molecule: non-coding RNA, 732 nt
Organism: Punica granatum (pomegranate)
Lineage: Eukaryota; Viridiplantae; Streptophyta; Magnoliopsida; Myrtales; Lythraceae
Source: RefSeq, a predicted model, not a curated record